ACGAGGGGCCCGAGCGUUAAUCGGAAUUACUGGGCGUAAAGCGUGCGCAGGCGGUUGUGCAAGACAGAUGUGAAAUCCCCGGGCUCAACCUGGGAACUGCAUUUGUGACUGCACGACUGGAGUGCGGCAGAGGGGGAUGGAAUUCCGCGUGUAGCAGUGAAAUGCGUAGAUAUGCGGAGGAACACCGAUGGCGAAGGCAAUCCCCUGGGCCUGCACUGACGCUCAUGCACGAAAGCGUGGGGAGCAAACAG
RNAcentral lists this ribosomal RNA (251 nucleotides) under uncultured prokaryote. Its description in RNAcentral is "partial 16S ribosomal RNA". It matches the Rfam family "Bacterial small subunit ribosomal RNA", at positions 525 to 775 of the family's 1533-position model. The record is from RNAcentral.